This 772-nucleotide ribosomal RNA is filed under the name uncultured Neocallimastigales. RNAcentral describes it as "partial large subunit ribosomal RNA". It matches the Rfam family "Eukaryotic large subunit ribosomal RNA", at positions 26 to 637 of the family's 3401-position model. The record is from RNAcentral. Lineage: Eukaryota; Fungi; Neocallimastigomycota; Neocallimastigomycetes; Neocallimastigales.
CGCAUCUGUGCAUGCAGCAUAUCAAUAAGCGGAGGAAAAGAAACUAACAAGGAUUCCCUCAGUAACGGCGAGUGAAGCGGGAAGAGCUCAAAUUUGAAAUCUUGAAAGGUCACCUUUCACGAAUUGUAGUUUAAAGAAGUGUUUUCUGUUACGAUCGUAAUAUAAGUUCUUUGGAAUAGGACAUCACAGAGGGUGAGAAUCCCGUCUAUGAUUGCGAUUUGUAGCUUUGUGAUACACUUUCAAAGAGUCGGGUUGUUUGGGAAUGCAGCCCAAAACGGGAGGUAAAUUUCUUCUAAGGCUAAAUAUUGGCGAGAGACCGAUAGCGAACAAGUACCGUGAGGGAAAGAUGAAAAGAACUUUGAAAAGAGAGUUAAAUAGUACGUGAAAUUGUCAAAAGGGAAGCGUUUAACACCAGUGUUGUUUUCUGAAAAUCAACCUCUGUUAGCUUUAUGCAUGUUUGUUUAGACCUAAUCAGCUAUCUUGCAUGUUCUAUUGUUUGCAGUGGUGCACUUUUCAGUUUACAGGUCAACAUCAGUUUUUUUUACCGUAAAAAAGUUAAAGAAAGGUAGCUCAUGGCUCCGGUCGUGAGUGUUAUAGUCUUUUUCCUAUGCGGUAGGAGAGACUGAGGUCUGCAGUGUAGGCUAUUUGGCUAGAUACUCAGGUGCUAUGUGACUACCAUUUCAUAAACAACUUGUUGAUUAUGUUUUGUCUAUUGCAUACUCGCUUGUACUAUCAUACCUACGCUUAGGAUGUUGACGAUCAGCUGAGCGCG